Lotus japonicus is the source of this 1431-nucleotide RNA transcript. It is a transcript of the gene named potassium transporter 7-like, with no coding region annotated. NCBI's taxonomy places the organism in Eukaryota, Viridiplantae, Streptophyta, Magnoliopsida, Fabales, Fabaceae. The record is from RefSeq and is a predicted model, not a curated record. The transcript has 7 exons.
UACGAAUUUUGCAUUUCAAUCAUGAUAAUCAUUUACAGUGGAAUAUAGGGUUUUUGUAAGGCUUGUGAUUUGUGAUAUACUUAGUUAGUAAUAUCUAUUUUUUUUUUUUGUGAUUGGAAUCAAGUAGAGUUAGUGACCAGGUUGAUUCUGAUUUCUGUGUGUUUCAAUUUUAUGAAUUUUGUGAUCUUAAGUUGAAAUUUCAGAUGGAAAAACAUUUAAUUUUUCUGUGUGUUUGCGCGCGAGUUGCGAGAAGCUCCGCCUAACACCCUCGCAUCACCCUUCUCCGUUAUGGCCAUGGCCAGCCACCACCUCGUCGUCACGCUCUCACUCAAUGGUCAAAAGAGCAUGGCAAUGGACGGUGAAUAAGGUGAGCCAUUAUCUCUCCCUUCUCUAUUUGUAGCAUGCUCUUUUAUUGAGGUUCUUAAAUGACAUCUGAUUUCAUUUUGUAUUUGGUUUGUGAGUUUCUAUUCUACACCUAUUAUGCGUGCAAGUGUAAGAAUAGAAAGCACAGGUCCAUGGACGCUUUGAGAAAAUAAGCAACAAAAAGUUUAACUUCUUCUACUUCGUUUGAGCGAGCAUCGCUGUAUGGUUCUAGGAAUAUUCUUGACCAUCACAGAGACAUGAGGAUGGGCGUAGAUAACAUGAGCUAUGAGGAACUUCUUGCACUUGGUGAGAGGAUUGGCCAUGUUAACACAGGGUUGUCUGAAGACUCGCUCACCAAGAAACAAUGUAAUCUUUCUGAAGCUGAUUUCAUCCAAGGUUACUGAAUCACCCUUAUAAGGCAAGUCUUCAUGAGAUCAACGAGGAACCCAGUUGCCCAUCUCCUUUAAUUUUUGAUUUCGAGCAGGCAACUCUUGACGAAGAAGAUAUAAAGGAGCUCAUAUGGAAGGAGUCUCUGAACUUCUGCUAGGAUCAGAUGCAAUGGACACAACUGCAACCACUAUUUAGAAGCAUGCAUUGGUAAAGGAAGCCAGUGAAGGAAGCACAGAGCUUGGUUUCUCAUUAAAGCAUGAUAUUAACAUAAACCUAUCUAUCUAGCUUGGGUGUUCAUGGUUUUCAUAUAUGGAUGGUGACUUCAGGUAGAGGCACAUGAUCUUAAAAACAAAGUGAUUCAAACAAAAAGAAGUUGCAGAGAUUGGGGGAUGAUUAUUUUGAAGGACUUCUAGGGCCUAUUUAUUGGUGAUCAUCAGAUAUUGAGAAGAAUCAAUGUGGUUUCAUACUUUUUUUGAGUUUUCCUUCCUCUUUGAUUAAUCAAGCAUGGCAACUCUCCUUUUGGGUCUUUGAUCAGCUAUGUAAGCUUAUGUUUGCUUUUUCUGUUCAUAGAAAGGUAGCAAAGUCUUCGAAUGAUAUGUAAAUAGACGUAAUUAGUGAAGUAGAGGACAUUUUUUCUAUUCAAUUUUUUUACUAGUAUAUUAUUUUUCAUUUCCUUUA